GUUAAACUUUGUUUGUGUUUCUUUAGGCGAAGCGGCUAGUAUUUCUAGGGUGCUGUUCGCUGGGGAUCCCACCAAACCCGACACAACGAACCAGAUCAAAUUAUUCUACAGCAACGAUGGAAACACUUGGGACUGUAUCUCAAAUGGCUCACCAUCCCCCUGCAGACCGUUCUAUUCAAACAGGCCCCCUCCAGUAAAAGGAAGUGACGUCAACGAAGUUGAUCUUCCUACAGUCAUAAAGGCGCGCUACUUCAGGUUUCAGCCACUCGAACCCAGUCCUAAAUACCGGGACGGUUCAUCGAGCUUGAGGGUUGACCUCAUUGGGUGCCGCGAAUAAGGUUAUUUAGCCCCCACUGGUUGAGUAGCCUGUGUGCAGCUAGUGCAUCAACAACUUAUAUGUUAAUUAGCUUAACCAUUGCCGUGAUAGCAUUUAAUUAAAGUGGGUAAAAAUUMAUGUUAGAUUAGAAAAAACAACUAAUGUAAUGUGAAAAAUACUGAAAUAAAAUUCAGUUGAAAAGGGAAUGUUGGUUUCCUACAGCGAUGUCUGGCUCGAUUAAAUCCAGAAAACUAAACGAGGGGGAUGAGGGGCUUGUCUUGGCAAAUUUUAUAUUUCUUAAUUAAUCGGUUUUCUUUAACGUUAUAAUAAUAAGAGUUUGACUUCUACUGGUCGCGUGUCGCGUGUGGCGGGUAACAAGUCGCGUGUGGCGGGUACUAAGUCGCGUGUGGCGGGUAACAAGUCGCGUGUGGCGGGUACUAAGUCGCGGGUACGAAUUUUUUUAAAAUUGGCCCAUAAACAAAAUAAUUGGUGUAUUAUAAUACAUGUUGAUAUAUCAUCAGCCAAAAAAAGGCAUAAGGGCAUACUAUUUUCCAAGUUUGAAUCCUAGUAGUAUCAAAACAAGUGUGAAUUUUGUCAAUGAAAAAUGCAAACAGACGUUCUUUGAAAUUGUAGAGAACUUUGAUUUUACGUAUGUCUAGUAUGUUGUUCCAUGGUGGAACAACACAAUUAAAAUAUGAAUUCCUAAAUAGACAUGUACGAAAACGAUUUGCGCGUAAAUUAAGACUAUUGGCAUUCCUAGUACGACCAGUGAUCAUAUAUGUGUUGUGUAUUCAUUAACAUUGAUGUUGUAUGGUCAUUAUACACAUCUAAAAGAAGCCCAAAGAAGCAGAUAUCACGAUAUUCAUGCCAGUAUUUUUAGAACAUGUAACAAGCAAGCAUACGAACGCUCAAAAUAAAUAAAAUUGUGCAUCACACUA
Molecule: long non-coding RNA, 1254 nt
Organism: Actinia tenebrosa (Australian red waratah sea anemone)
Lineage: Eukaryota; Metazoa; Cnidaria; Anthozoa; Actiniaria; Actiniidae
Source: RefSeq, a predicted model, not a curated record